AUCGCAGUAGCAAUAUUGCGGUCAGUGGCGGACGGGAGAGUAAUGCAUGGGUAACGUACCCUGGACUCGGGGAUAACCACGGGAGCAAUCCCUUUGCGAAAGUGUGGCUAAUACCCGAUGAAAUCGCCGGAGCGCAUGCUCUGGCGAUCAACGGUGGGGACCGCAAGGCCUACUGGUCUGGGAUCGGCCCAUGUCCUAUCAGCUAGUUGGUGAGGUAACGGCCCACCAAGGCUGCGACGGGUAGC
This 245-nucleotide ribosomal RNA is filed under the name uncultured bacterium. Its description in RNAcentral is "partial 16S ribosomal RNA". It matches the Rfam family "Bacterial small subunit ribosomal RNA", at positions 70 to 287 of the family's 1533-position model. The record is from RNAcentral.